UAAACUAGGAUUAGAUACCCUAUUAUUCUAAUAGGAGCAGAUGUUAAAAACUUGAGUAUUAGUAAUAAAUUAAUUUUAAAUUCAAAGAACCUGGCGGUACUUUAGUCUAGUUGGAGGAACCUGUUUUAUAAACGAUAAACCACGUAAAAUCUUUCUUGUUCUUGUAAAGUUAGUAUACCUUCAUUACAGAUAAUUUUGAUUGAUUAAUUAUUGUAAUUGAUCUUUAGGAUCAAGUAAAUUAGAUCAAGGUGCUGCAGAUGAGCAAGUAAAAAUGGGUUACAAUGGUUUUUAACGUUAAGCGGAAUAUAUUUAGAACAAAUAUAUGAAGAUGGAUUCAAUUGUAAUUUUAAUUUUAAUAAGGUAAAAUGGUAUUAGCUCUAAAGUGUGUACAUAUUGCCCGUCGCUUUCAUUAAGUCAAAUGAGAUAAGUCGUAACACAGUAGAUGUACUGGAAAGUGCAUA
This 461-nucleotide ribosomal RNA is filed under the name Panulirus ornatus. Its description in RNAcentral is "partial 12S ribosomal RNA". The record is from RNAcentral. Lineage: Eukaryota; Metazoa; Arthropoda; Malacostraca; Decapoda; Palinuridae.